CAAUAGCGUAUAUUAAAGUUGUUGCAGUUAAAAAGCUCGUAGUUGGAUUUCUGGUGGGAGCGAUCGGUCUGGCGCUUAGCGCGAGUACUUGCAUCGUCUCCGGCCAUCCUUGGGGAGAGUCUGUCUGGCAUUAAGUUGUCGGGCAGAGGAUCCUCAUCGUUUACUGUGAAAAAAUUAGAGUGUUCAAAGCAGGCUUAUGCCGUUGAAUAUAUUAGCAUGGAAUAAUAAGAUAGGACUUUGGUACUAUUUUGUUGGUUUGCGCACCAAAGUAAUGAUUAAUAGGGACAGUUGGGGGUAUUCGUAUUCCGUUGUCAGAGGUGAAAUUCCUGGAUUUACGGAAGACGAACUACUGCGAAAGCAUUUACCAAGGAUGUUUUCAUUAA
RNAcentral lists this ribosomal RNA (383 nucleotides) under uncultured eukaryote. RNAcentral describes it as "partial 18S ribosomal RNA". It matches the Rfam family "Eukaryotic small subunit ribosomal RNA", at positions 592 to 976 of the family's 1831-position model. The record is from RNAcentral.